RNAcentral lists this ribosomal RNA (959 nucleotides) under Chryseobacterium sp. RNAcentral's name for it is "bacterial SSU rRNA". It matches the Rfam family "Bacterial small subunit ribosomal RNA", at positions 472 to 1438 of the family's 1533-position model. Lineage: Bacteria; Pseudomonadati; Bacteroidota; Flavobacteriia; Flavobacteriales; Weeksellaceae. The record is from RNAcentral.
AAGGUACUAUACGAAUAAGCACCGGCUAACUCCGUGCCAGCAGCCGCGGUAAUACGGAGGGUGCAAGCGUUAUCCGGAUUUAUUGGGUUUAAAGGGUCCGUAGGCGGACUCGUAAGUCAGUGGUGAAAUCUCAUAGCUUAACUAUGAAACUGCCAUUGAUACUGCGGGUCUUGAGUAAGGUAGAAGUGGCUGGAAUAAGUAGUGUAGCGGUGAAAUGCAUAGAUAUUACUUAGAACACCAAUUGCGAAGGCAGGUCACUAUGUCUUAACUGACGCUGAUGGACGAAAGCGUGGGGAGCGAACAGGAUUAGAUACCCUGGUAGUCCACGCCGUAAACGAUGCUAACUCGUUUUUGGGCUUUCGGGUUCAGAGACUAAGCGAAAGUGAUAAGUUAGCCACCUGGGGAGUACGUUCGCAAGAAUGAAACUCAAAGGAAUUGACGGGGGCCCGCACAAGCGGUGGAUUAUGUGGUUUAAUUCGAUGAUACGCGAGGAACCUUACCAAGGCUUAAAUGGGAAUUGAUCGGUUUAGAAAUAGACCUUCCUUCGGGCAAUUUUCAAGGUGCUGCAUGGUUGUCGUCAGCUCGUGCCGUGAGGUGUUAGGUUAAGUCCUGCAACGAGCGCAACCCCUGUUACUAGUUGCUACCAUUAAGUUGAGGACUCUAGUAAGACUGCCUACGCAAGUAGAGAGGAAGGUGGGGAUGACGUCAAAUCAUCACGGCCCUUACGCCUUGGGCCACACACGUAAUACAAUGGCCGGUACAGAGGGCAGCUACACAGCGAUGUGAUGCGAAUCUCGAAAGCCGGUCUCAGUUCGGAUUGGAGUCUGCAACUCGACUCUAUGAAGCUGGAAUCGCUAGUAAUCGCGCAUCAGCCAUGGCGCGGUGAAUACGUUCCCGGGCCUUGUACACACCGCCCGUCAAGCCAUGGAAGUCUGGGGUACCUGAAGUCGGUGACCGUA